Molecule: ribosomal RNA, 352 nt
Filed under: Tomentella sublilacina
Lineage: Eukaryota; Fungi; Basidiomycota; Agaricomycetes; Thelephorales; Thelephoraceae
Description: eukaryotic LSU rRNA
Rfam family: 5.8S ribosomal RNA (bases 1-72)
Source: RNAcentral
GUGAGUCAUCGAAUCUUUGAACGCACCUUGCGCCCCUUGGCUAUUCCGAGGGGCAUGCCUGUUUGAGUAUCAUGAACACCUCAACUCUCAUGGUUCGCCAUGAUGAGCUUGGACUCUGGGGGUUUUGCUGGCCUGUGGUCGGCUCCCCUCAAAUGAAUCAGCCUCCCAGUGUUUGGUGGCAUCACGGGUGUGAUAAAUAUCUACGCUCGCGGUUGUCUGCCAGGUAACCUUUGGUGACAAAGGUUCGCUGGAGCUCACAGAUGUCUCUCCUCGGCGAGGACAGCUUUUUUGAACGUUCGAUCUCAAAUCAGGUAGGACUACCCGCUGAACUUAAGCAUAUCAAUAAGCGGAG